UCCGGUUUGUCACCGGCAGUCUCCCUAGAGUGCCCUUGCGUAGCAACUAGGGACAAGGGUUGCGCUCGUUGCGGGACUUAACCCAACACCUCACGGCACGAGCUGACGACAGCCAUGCAGCAUCUGUGCACGCUCCCUUGCGGGUCCCUUCCCUUACAGGUUGGUACUACGUGCAUGUCAAACGUUGGUAAGGUUCUGCGCGUUGCUUCGAAUUAAACCACACGCUCCGCUGCUUGUGCGGGCCCCCGCCUAUUCCUUUGAGUUUUAACCUUGCGGCCGUAGUCCCCAGGCGGUGAACUUAAUGCGUUAGCUGCGGCACUGAUCGGGUCAAUCCGACCAACACCUAGUUCACAACGUUUAGGGCGUGGACUAC
Molecule: unclassified non-coding RNA, 373 nt
Filed under: uncultured bacterium
Lineage: Bacteria
Description: contains 16S-23S intergenic spacer region
Source: RNAcentral